UGGGGAAUAUUGGACAAUGGGCGCAAGCCUGAUCCAGCCAUGCCGCGUGUGUGAAGAAGGCCUUCGGGUUGUAAAGCACUUUUGUCCGGAAAGAAAAUCCUGUCGGCUAAUACCCGGCGGGGAUGACGGUACCGGAAGAAUAAGCACCGGCUAACUUCGUGCCAGCAGCCGCGGUAAUACGAAGGGUGCAAGCGUUACUCGGAAUUACUGGGCGUAAAGCGUGCGUAGGUGGUUUGUUAAGUCUGAUGUGAAAGCCCUGGGCUCAACCUGGGAACUGCAUUGGAUACUGGCUUACUGGAGUGCGGUAGAGGGUGGCGGAAUUCCCGGUGUAGCAGUGAAAUGCGUAGAUAUCGGGAGGAACAUCCGUGGUGAAGGCGGCCACCUGGACCAGCACUGACACUGAGGCACGAAAGCGUGGGGAGCAAAACAGGAUUAGAUACCCUGGUAGUCACGCCCUAAACGAUGCGAACUGGAUGUUGGGAGCAACUAGGCUCUCAGUAUCGAAGCUAACGCGUUAAGUUCGCCGCCUGGGAAGUACGGUCGCAAGACUGAAACUCAAAUGAAUUGACGGGGUCAUAGCUGUUUCCU
Molecule: ribosomal RNA, 588 nt
Filed under: uncultured bacterium
Lineage: Bacteria
Description: partial 16S ribosomal RNA
Rfam family: Bacterial small subunit ribosomal RNA
Source: RNAcentral